The sequence is a ribosomal RNA, 453 nucleotides long. It matches the Rfam family "Bacterial small subunit ribosomal RNA", at positions 30 to 472 of the family's 1533-position model.
AUUGAACGCUGGCGGCAGGCCUAACACAUGCAAGUCGAGCGGAAACGAUCCUAGCUUGCUAGGAGGCGUCGAGCGGCGGACGGGUGAGUAAUGCAUAGGAAUCUGCCCGGUAGUGGGGGAUAACUUGAGGAAACUCAAGCUAAUACCGCAUACGCCCCAAGGGGGAAAGCAGGGGAUCUUCRGACCUUGCGCUAUCGGAUGAGCCUAUGUCGGAUUAGCUAGUUGGUGAGGUAAUGGCUCACCAAGGCCGCGAUCCGUAGCUGGUCUGAGAGGAUGAUCAGCCACAUCGGGACUGAGACACGGCCCGAACUCCUACGGGAGGCAGCAGUGGGGAAUAUUGGACAAUGGGCGAAAGCCUGAUCCAGCCAUGCCGCGUGUGUGAAGAAGGCCUUCGGGUUGUAAAGCACUUUCAGCGAGGAAGAACGCUUGUGGGUUAAUACCCUGCAAGAAGGA